RNAcentral lists this ribosomal RNA (1468 nucleotides) under metagenome. Its description in RNAcentral is "bacterial SSU rRNA". It matches the Rfam family "Bacterial small subunit ribosomal RNA". The record is from RNAcentral.
AGAGUUUGAUCCUGGCUCAGGAUGAACGCUGGCGGCGUGCCUAAUACAUGCAAGUCGAACGAGAACCGAUGGAUUCGUCUGUCGGGGAGAGUGGCGAACGGGUGAGUAACACGUAGGUGACCUGCCCCAAAGCGGGGGACAACCGUUGGAAACGGCGGCUAAUACCCCAUGUGCUCGCUGGGAUUAGAGGCCCGGCGAGGAAAGCUCCGGCGCUUUGGGAGGGACCUGCGGCCCAUCAGCUAGUUGGUGAGGUAAUGGCUCACCAAGGCGACGACGGGUAGGGGGCCUGAGAGGGUGGCCCCCCACACUGGAACUGCGACACGGUCCAGACUCCUACGGGAGGCAGCAGUAAGGAAUAUUGCGCAAUGGGCGAAAGCCUGACGCAGCAACGCCGCGUGGGCGAUGAAGGCCUUCGAGGUUGUAAAGCCCUUUUCUGGGGGAUGAGACAAGGACAGUACCCCAGGAACAAGUGUCGGCUAACUACGUGCCAGCAGCCGCGGUAAAACGUAGGACACGAGCGUUAUCCGGAUUUACUGGGCGUAAAGCGUGUGCAGGCGGUGCGGUAAGUCGGACGUGAAAGCUCCCGGCUCAACUGGGAGAGGCCGUUCGAAACUCCCGCACUAGAGGGCAGGAGAGGAGCGUGGAAUUCCGGGUGGAGUGGUGAAAUGCGUAGAUAUCCGGAGGAACACCAGUGGCGAAAGCGGCGCUCUGGACUGCUCCUGACGCUAAGACACGAAAGCUAGGGUAGCGAACGGGAUUAGAAACCCCGGUAGUCCUAGCCGUAAACGAUGCAGACUAGGCGUUGGAGGGGUCAUUGACCCUACCAGUGCCGUAGCUAACGCGUUAAGUCUGCCGCCUGGGGACUACGGCCGCAAGGCUAAAACUCAAAGGAAUUGACGGGGGCCCGCACUAGCAGCGUAGCGUGUGGUUUAAUUCGAGGCUACGCGAAGAACCUUACCUGGGCUUGACAUGACGGUUGUAGGGACCCGAAAGGGAACCGACCCCUCGGGGAGCCGCCACAGGUGCUGCAUGGCUGUCGUCAGCUCGUGCCGUGAGGUGUUAGGUUAAGUCCUGUAACGAGCGCAACCCUUGCCGUUAGUUACAUGUGUCUAACGGGACUGCCGGGGCAACCCGGAGGAAGGUGGGGAUGACGUCAAGUCAGCAUGGCCUUUAUGUCCAGGGCUACACACACGCUACAAUGGCCGGUACAAUAGGUAGCCAAGCCGCGAGGCGGAGCUAAUCCUCCAAAGCCGGUCUCAGUUCGAAUUGUAGGCUGCAACUCGCCUGCAUGAAGCUGGAGUUGCUAGUAACCGCAGGUCAGCUACACUGCGGUGAAUACGUUCCCGGGCCUUGUACUCACCGCCCGUCACGUCAUGGGAGCUGGCAACACCUGAAGUCGGUGUGCUAACCGUAAGGAGGCAGCCGCCCAAGGUGGGGCUGGUGACUGGGACGAAGUCGUAACGAGGUA